UACGGAGGGUGCAAACGUUGCUCGGAAUCAUUGGGCGUAAAGCGCACGUAGGCGGCCCGUUAAGUCGGAUGUGAAAAUCCCCGGGAGCUCAACUCCGGGAACAGCAUUUGAAAACUGCUUUUUCUAGAGGGUAGGCGGAGAAAACGGGAAUUCCACAAGUAGCGGUGAAAUGCGUAGAUAUGUGGAAGAAACACCAGUGGCGAAGGCGGUUUUCUAGCUUACACCUGACGCUGAGGCGCGAAAGCAAGGGGAGCAAACAGGG
This 262-nucleotide ribosomal RNA is filed under the name uncultured bacterium. RNAcentral describes it as "partial 16S ribosomal RNA". It matches the Rfam family "Bacterial small subunit ribosomal RNA", at positions 524 to 777 of the family's 1533-position model. The record is from RNAcentral.